RNAcentral lists this long non-coding RNA (1207 nucleotides) under Marmota monax (woodchuck). The record is from RNAcentral. Lineage: Eukaryota; Metazoa; Chordata; Mammalia; Rodentia; Sciuridae.
CAACGAUUGACCAAUCCUGACUGACUGGGCUUGACGAUCUCCCUGGUAGACAUACUCCCAUCAUGGCCACUUCCCUGCUACCAAAGUGACGUCACAAACACAAAUUGGGAAGAGAUGUGCAGCAGCACACGAUUAUGCAGUGAUUCCACCAAGUAGGUGCCAUGGAUGGAAAUAACCCAUGAACAGAGACACAGUCAAACAGCGAGAGGUGAGAAGUUCGCGUAUCAUCACCUUUGCUUUUAAUAUGUGCACGGUUACCGAGGUUGACUUUUAACCCUGGCUGUGCUUAACAACUCCCUCCUAAAGUUCCUGAAAAUGUGAGACUCAUCUCACAGCUCGACUCCAGAGCAGCUUCGAUCUGGGAAUGAAAUAUUCGUGGCAGCUCUUAGCCUGUGACUGGAAGCAGCCUCUGGCUGCUGGUGUGGCUUCUCUUCUGCCCUGACCACCAACGUCAACUCCCCCCUCUGGUAGGGCCUUUCAAAGCACAAGAUCAUGGGAUGGCCAAAACACCUUCUCCCUAAAAAGCCCUGGCCACAGACGGCCUGGAAACUUGUUUUGGAAAGUACCGUCCAGAGACUCAGAUUUCUCCCAACAUUUCUUCUGAUCGUCCCGGGAAGGGCUCCCUCCUGGUGGACCCUCCUUCACUUGUAAUGCCUUCCAAACACCCUGCUAAUGGUCUCGUUCCCUUCCUCUCCAUCCAUUACUUUGGAAGGAGAAAGACCCUUGAAAUCAACCGCUUCUGUAUUCAGUGCCGUAACAAGAGGCCUCUUGCCACGCCAGGCCCUCAGCCUCACCCGCCCGGGAGCUGACCACCCUGCAGGUGGCAUGGGACCUACGACUCACUGUAAACGGAUGAUAAUCCCCCUUGUUGGUCAGGGACUUGGUUCUUCUUCUAGACAAAUAUGACCUUUGAGUAAGUACACGCAGUCAGCACCCCACGGCGGUGCCUGCCUCAGAAUCAACCGACCAUGGGUGGAAAAUAUCUGUAAAAGAAAAAAACACCUGGACUGAAUGUGUACAGACUCUCUUCGGGUCUUCCUCUCUAAAGAAUACAGCCUGGCAGCCUCUCAGAGAGCGUGGACACUGGAUUCGGUUUCCGCAGUGUCCUGGAGGUGGUUCUCCGUAGACGAGGUGUUUGCAGACACUGCAGUUGAUCUGUGGGACUGAGCAGUGGUGGAGCUUGGGGUUCAGGGUCUCCACGGCCCAA